This 549-nucleotide ribosomal RNA is filed under the name uncultured bacterium. RNAcentral describes it as "bacterial SSU rRNA". It matches the Rfam family "Bacterial small subunit ribosomal RNA", at positions 777 to 1328 of the family's 1533-position model. The record is from RNAcentral.
AAUAGAUACCCGGGUAGUCCACCCCGUAAAACGUUGGGAACUAGUUGUGGGGUCCUUUCCACGGAUUCCGUGACGCAGCUAACGCAUUAAGUUCCCCGCCUGGGGAGUACGGCCGCAAGGCUAAAACUCAAAGGAAUUGACGGGGACCCGCACAAGCGGCGGAGCAUGCGGAUUAAUUCGAUGCAACGCGAAGAACCUUACUAAGGCUUGACAUACACCGGAAACGGCCAGAGAUGGUCGCCCCGCAAGGUCGGUGUACAGGUGGUGCAUGGUUGUCGUCAGCUCGUGUCGUGAGAUGUUGGGUUAAGUCCCGCAACGAGCGCAACCCUCGUUCUAUGUUGCCAGCACGUAAUGGUGGGAACUCAUGGGAUACUGCCGGGGUCAACUCGGAGGAAGGUGGGGAUGACGUCAAAUCAUCAUGCCCCUUAUGUCUUGGGCUUCACGCAUGCUACAAUGGCCGGUACAAAGGGCUGCAACACCGUGAGGUGGAGCGAAUCCCAAAAGCCGGUCCAGUUCGGAUUGAGGUCUGCAACUCGACUCGUGAAGUCG